This is a long non-coding RNA of Pantherophis guttatus, 797 nucleotides long. RefSeq lists it as uncharacterized. The record is from RefSeq and is a predicted model, not a curated record. NCBI's taxonomy places the organism in Eukaryota, Metazoa, Chordata, Lepidosauria, Squamata, Colubridae.
GAAAUGUCCAUCUGGGUUCAGUUCCAAGUGAGGAGAAAGACACUGGAAACAUGGAGGCUGCUUGGAAAGCUGGUUUAAUGGAGCAGAACCACUAACCACAUGGUCCUGGUGCAAUUGAACACAUGAAGUGGAGAAAAUUUCCUUUUUCUUCUGACAAAGCAAGUUACAACCAGUUGUUACAAAGGCCAGUAGGCAGAGGAGAUAACAUUUGCCCCACUAUGUUUCGAGUGGUUAAGCAAUUCAACAUAUGAAGUGUUAUCUGUUCACUAAGACAGACCACUGCAUAUGCUGCAAAGGUAUGUGGUCCAACAUUCAUGAAGAGUUAAUACAAGAGUUACCGUAUGUCUCUUUAUUGCAGAAUCUGCACUGCAAAUGCCACAAGAUCCCUUAGGAGGCUGACCACAGAGUAAUGUCUGUUAGCAUAAUAUUGACCAUAAUGUUGAUCUUCAGAGCUAAUCAAAUGUAUUACAUAUUACUAAUAAUAAUGAUCUAACAUAAGAAAUUUAUUACUGUAACCCAACCAAGAAUGCACAGUUGUCUACCAAGAAAGAAGGGGUAAGAAAGAAAAUGAGAAAGAAAGUACAUCAAUAUGCAGAAUAUGAGGAAAAAUACAGUACAAGAAGGAUAAAAUUUGUUCAAGAUGAGAUCAAACAAAAAGGGAGGUGAAAUUGCAUUAUUGUUAAGAAUGACUACAUAGUUCUUUGACCUUUUUCUUUUUUCAAAUCUUUUCUUACCUUUUAACUUUGUACUUUUUUGACAAUCAAUAAAGUUAUAUGUCUUAAAAAACCCUACCUUGA